AAGUCAGAAACCAGGCAGAACAUUUCAAGAAGACCCGCCCAGCAUAACUUGAAAAAAGUGCCUUAAUUUUCAAGGAAUAACCCAAUCUCUUGGUCCCAUGUAAGUAUUCUCUUUACCUUCACUAGUUAACUUCAUAUUCUAACCAGUUCGAUUAUUGUUCACACCAACUAUGUCAUUGAAAGUUAUGAAUUUCAACACUACCUGUGUUUUGAAUACAACUGUAACCAAUUCAAAUUUUUUAUAUGUGUAUCACAUUUAAAAUGUCAAUUGAUAUUGUAACAGUAACAGUAUUCCAUAAUGAACAGUUUUGUGUUGACCCAAACAAGUUAUAGUGAUGGUGAAGAUCCUGUGCACAGUCUAAUCUAAAAGGAAGUUAUUCAAAGGUGAUGAGAAGUAGUUGCCAUAGGUUACCUGUAUGUAGAGUUAGCAUUCACUAAAAUUCUAAACUGUACCCAAAAUGAACUUCUCAAUCUUUGCUAGUUUUAGGGAUGCAACAGCACAAUAUAAAUGAUGCUACCAAAUUAGCUGCAGCACUUUCAAGCCCUGCACUAAGUAGAACAAUAUAUAGAUACCUAAUGGCUAUUGAUGGUAGUAUUUUCUGUGCACAGGAUCUUUAUCAAUAGUUGUCCACCUCAUCACGACAAAGAAGAUGUUAGAUAUGCAUGCUCUGAUUCAACAGCCUUAUAAGAAUCCAAUCAGACCAUGAAGCUUUCAACAUGUUCUGUUCUGUCCCAUGUUCUGACAGCUAAACAAUGAAUGUCUCUCCCAGUUCUCAAGCUGUAGAUAAAACUGCUGCCACUAUGGCACUUUAACCAGCUGGCAGGAAAAGGUUAAAUACAGCAUUGCAGACAAGACCAGAGUUGAAAACAUUCUCUUUGCUGCUGGUAGGUGGAAGAGGCUGUUCCACGGCUACUGCACCAGGACAGAUCCUGUAGUGCUCGUGCUGGCCAGGGGACAAAGUUGGAGACAAUGACUGUCCCCGUGAGCUGUGGUUUACAGAAAGGGUUCUGUUGCACUGUCAAAACUCGGCAGCAGUCAGUAGGCUGUCGUCCAUGGGACAGUCAUGUGAACGCCAGGAUGCAGCUCUGUAUCAACCUGGACAUGAUGUGGGUCAAUGCUGACUGAAGAAUACACCUUGCAAAGUGUCAGGAAGGCCAUGUUUCAGGGAUGUUUUUCAAUAAAAGAAUCAUUGAAGAUA
Long non-coding RNA from Branchiostoma belcheri (Belcher's lancelet), 1198 nucleotides. RefSeq lists it as uncharacterized. The transcript is spliced from 3 exons. The record is from RefSeq and is a predicted model, not a curated record. Lineage: Eukaryota; Metazoa; Chordata; Leptocardii; Amphioxiformes; Branchiostomatidae.